UGGGGAAUAUUGGACAAUGGGCGAAAGCCUGAUCCAGCAAUGCCGCGUGGGUGAAGACGGCCUGCGGGUUGUAAAGCCCUUUAGGUGGGGAGGAAAGGCGGGACGUGAACAGCGUUUCGCACUGACGUUACCCACGGAAUAAGCACCGGCUAACUCCGUGCCAGCAGCCGCGGUAAUACGGAGGGUGCGAGCGUUAAUCGGAAUUACUGGGCGUAAAGCGUGCGUAGGCGGUUUGGUCAGUCAGCCGUGAAAGCCCCGGGCUUAACCUGGGAACGGCGGUUGAGACGGCCAGACUCGAGUGGGCUAGAGGAUCGUGGAAUUCCCGGUGUAGCAGUGAAAUGCGUAGAGAUCGGGAGGAACACCGAUGGCGAAGGCAGCGAUCUGGGGCCACACUGACGCUGAGGCACGAAGGCGUGGGGAGCAAACAGG
Molecule: ribosomal RNA, 429 nt
Filed under: uncultured bacterium
Lineage: Bacteria
Description: bacterial SSU rRNA
Rfam family: Bacterial small subunit ribosomal RNA
Source: RNAcentral